RNAcentral lists this non-coding RNA (86 nucleotides) under Anaerobacillus alkalilacustris. Its description in RNAcentral is "c-di-GMP sequence". It matches the Rfam family "c-di-GMP-I riboswitch aptamer". Rfam says of the family: GEMM was predicted in a large-scale screen for bacterial structured RNA regulatory elements. Genes associated with GEMM are involved in a diverse array of functions, including chemotaxis regulation, signal transduction, secretion and chitin. The record is from RNAcentral. Lineage: Bacteria; Bacillati; Bacillota; Bacilli; Caryophanales; Bacillaceae.
CGUACGAAAAGGCAACCUCACCGAAAGAUGAUGGACGCAAAACUAAAGGGGCUAAGUCAAAUGUGAUAAGCCAGCCAGAUACCGAA